GACGGAGGGGGCAAGCGUUGUUCGGAAUUACUGGGCGUAAAGCGCGUGUAGGCGGUCCGAUAAGUCGAGUGUGAAAUCCCCGGGCUUAACCCAGGAAGUGCAUUCGAAACUGUCGGGCUUGAGUACGGGAGAGGGAAGUGGAAUUCCUGGUGUAGAGGUGAUAUUCGUAGAUAUCAGGAGGAACACCGGUGGCGAAGGCGGCUUCCUGGACCUAUACUGACGCUGAGACGCGAAAGCGUGGGGAGCAAACAGG
RNAcentral lists this ribosomal RNA (253 nucleotides) under uncultured bacterium. RNAcentral's name for it is "partial 16S ribosomal RNA". It matches the Rfam family "Bacterial small subunit ribosomal RNA", at positions 524 to 776 of the family's 1533-position model. The record is from RNAcentral.